GAAAUGCGAUACGUAAUGUGAAUUGCUUUCCGUGAAUCAUCGAAUCUUUGAACGCACAUUGCACUCUAUUCUGUAGAGUAUGCCUGUUUGAGAAUCUAUAGUAUUUCUUUUAGGAAUUUUUUUAAAAUGCCUAAAGAUCUGAGGCCUUCUCUCCUUCAGGAGAGUGCCUUGAAAUAGAUUAUCUGUACCUCGAGAAGAUGUCUGACGUCUCUUAACAACAGAACAGUAUUUGAAUGGUUUUCAACCUCAAUGCCUACUAAGUUGCUAGGGAAAUAGUCGAUCGAGCUAUAGGUCCAUAAACUAUAGUGCUCCUUCCUCUUGAGGAAAGAGCUCUGAACCUUGGUCUCAAAUCAGGUAGGAAGACCCGCUGAACUUAA
This 377-nucleotide unclassified non-coding RNA is filed under the name uncultured Chytridiomycota. RNAcentral's name for it is "sequence contains ITS1". The stretch from base 1 to 97 matches the Rfam family "5.8S ribosomal RNA", at positions 50 to 154 of the family's 154-position model. The record is from RNAcentral. Lineage: Eukaryota; Fungi; Chytridiomycota.